GUCCAAGUACUUGGUAAGGAUCCUAUGCCUUCCCUAAGGCAAACCUAUUCUUAUGUACAAUAGGAAGAAAGUUGUAAAAGUGUCACAAUCUACUCUAUACCUAUAGACAAGGCUAGGUCAGUAACUACUUCUUCUCGAGAACAGUCACAUGCCUUUUAUAAUGGUCCAUCAGACAAAAAUAAUCUACACUAUGACUACUAUGGGAAAUCCAGGCAUACGAAAGAGCAUUGUUGGAAACUGCAUAACCACCCAACGAAAGGGCGUGGUGGUAAACGGAUGGGCUCAACAAGACCUCAAGCAA
RNAcentral lists this unclassified non-coding RNA (301 nucleotides) under Hevea brasiliensis (rubber tree). Lineage: Eukaryota; Viridiplantae; Streptophyta; Magnoliopsida; Malpighiales; Euphorbiaceae. The record is from RNAcentral.